RNAcentral lists this ribosomal RNA (167 nucleotides) under uncultured bacterium. RNAcentral's name for it is "partial 16S ribosomal RNA". The record is from RNAcentral.
AGGAAUGGCUGACGCACUCUGAUCAGCAUGCCGCGUGAGUGAUGAAUGCCUUAGGGUUGUAAAGCUGUUUUUCUAGGGAAGAAAAUGUGUGUGUUUAUAGGAGUGUGACCGGAUUUUUCCAAGAAACAACGCCUAAGUUUAUGCCAUCACCCGCGGUAAUAUAAUAA